This is a long non-coding RNA of Malus domestica (apple), 389 nucleotides long. RefSeq lists it as uncharacterized. NCBI's taxonomy places the organism in Eukaryota, Viridiplantae, Streptophyta, Magnoliopsida, Rosales, Rosaceae. The record is from RefSeq and is a predicted model, not a curated record.
AAAAAUAUUGAAAAGUUGGAUUGUUUGUUUGGUUAGGGAUUUAGAGAAUGGAUGGUGUGGAUUGAUUUUGGUCACCUAUACCCUUACACUUUCAUUCUCUCUAUCCCGUGGCUCUCUCUCUCCUCCAUCCCGACUCUCUCUCUACACACACCCAUACGUACGGACACACCCAAAAAUCUUCCAAACUCGACGGAUCGAGGCAACCAAGGGAAUUCUAAGCUUAUAGUGAGCUUAGUGAGGUCCCAAGGAAGCUCGGAGUGCUUCGUUGGAAGGAUUUGGACGUCGGGAUCACGAGGGUUAAGUUUGGCCGAUUUUGUUUGGAUAUUUCCGGCGGCGAUCGUCAUGACGCCUUGAUGAGUUGUGCUAGGGAGUUGUAGGGCGAACUCCAG